AUUGAACGCUGGCGGCAUGCCUUACACAUGCAAGUCGAACGGCAGCACGGGGCAACCUGGUGGCGAGUGGCGAACGGGUGAGUAAUGCAUCGGAACGUGCCAUUGAGUGGGGGAUAACGUAGCGAAAGUUGCGCUAAUACCGCAUAUUCUGUGAGCAGGAAAGCAGGGGACCGCAAGGCCUUGCGCUCUUUGAGCGGCCGAUGUCAGAUUAGCUAGUUGGUGAGGUAACGGCUUACCAAGGCGACGAUCUGUAGCGGGUCUGAGAGGAUGAUCCGCCACACUGGAACUGAGACACGGCCCAGACUCCUACGGGAGGCAGCAGUGGGGAAUUUUGGACAAUGGGCGCAAGCCUGAUCCAGCCAUGCCGCGUGAGUGAAGAAGGCCUC
Molecule: ribosomal RNA, 386 nt
Filed under: uncultured bacterium
Lineage: Bacteria
Description: bacterial SSU rRNA
Rfam family: Bacterial small subunit ribosomal RNA
Source: RNAcentral